RNAcentral lists this ribosomal RNA (468 nucleotides) under uncultured bacterium. RNAcentral describes it as "partial 16S ribosomal RNA". It matches the Rfam family "Bacterial small subunit ribosomal RNA", at positions 28 to 507 of the family's 1533-position model. The record is from RNAcentral.
GAUGAACGCUGGCGGCGUGCUUAAUACAUGCAAGUCGAACGGACGGGCGCUGAUCUUGUGUGGUGCUCGAGUGGCGAACGGGUGAGUAUCACGCGUGUAACACGUCCCUGACUUUGGGAUAACAUCAGGAAAAUGGGGCUAAUAUCGGAUAGGAGCUCUUGCACCACGGGGGGGGUUGGAAAGGUUCGGCGGUUGGGGCUGGAAUAGCGGGUUAUCAGCUUGUUGGGGGGGUAGUUGCUUACCAAGGCUUUGAAGGGUAGCCGGCCUGAGCGGGUGACCGGCCACAUUGGGACUGAGAUACGGCCCAGACUCCUACGGGAGGCAGCAGUGGGGAAUAUUGCACAAUGGGCUGAAGCCUGAUGCAGCAACGCCGCGUGCGGGAUGACGGCCUUCGGGUUGUAAACCGCUUUCGCCUGUGACGAAGCGUGAGUGACGGUAAUGGGUAAAGAAGCACCGGCUAACUACGUG